UGGUUUGGUGACUCGAUUUAUUCUUGUUAUUUAAUUCAUAUAUCAAUGGAUCUUAUUUGGGGCCUGGUCCAUAUUUAACACUCGUGUUCAGUCCAAUGACCAAUAAUAUUUUUUCAUUAAUAACAAUGUAACAAGAAUGAUACACAAAACAUUCUUUGAAUAAGUUCGCUAUGAAGAAGGGAACUUAUCCGGUCCUAGAUCAUCAGUUCAUACAAACCUCCAUAGAGUUCAACAUCUUAAACAAGAAUAUCCUGAUCUGAAGAAUGUGGAGGCUUUAGUCCCUUGGAUACUUGGGAGGCUGUGGAAGAACAGAAACGAGCUGGUGCUUAAAGGGAGGGAAUUUGGAACCAAUGAGGUAUUAGUAAGGACACAAGAAGAUGCAGAUGAGUGGAUUAGAAGGAAAGAGGCUCAGAAUGUAAGGAAAGCACCAACCACAACACCGUCGGGACAGACGAGAAACAUGGGAAGCUCCACCACAAUCUUGGGUUAAGUGCAACUUUGAUGGGGCAUGGCCAACAGAAGGAUUAAAAUGUGGCUUAGGGUGGGUGCUUCGCGAUCAUACAGGGAAGGUGUUAUGGUUAGGUGCAAGAGCUGUGGUAAAAGUAAGAAGCGUGCUGGAAGUAGAAGUGGAGGCUCUUAGAUGGGCUGUGCUGUCAUUAUCCCGAUUCAAUUAUAGGAAGAUCAUUUUUGAGGUGGAUUCUCAGCAACUUGUGUCUUUGGUUACAUGAAAGUUAUGCUUGUCAAGUCUCAAUCCAAUUAUCCAAGACAUAAAGUAUCUACUUAGCAAGUUUGAGGAUUUUAUGCUUGUGCAUACAAGCCGAGAAGGAAAUGGAGUGGCAGAUAGAAUAGCUAAGGAAUCUCUUUCUUUUGAGAAUUAUGAUCUAAAGUUGUAUUCUAUUGUACCAAUUUGGGUUAAAAGCUCUGUUGAGCUAGACUGUGUAUCCAUAAAUGGGUGAAUGGAAAGUUUGUUGUUGAGCCA
Molecule: small RNA, 979 nt
Filed under: Arabidopsis thaliana (thale cress)
Lineage: Eukaryota; Viridiplantae; Streptophyta; Magnoliopsida; Brassicales; Brassicaceae
Description: putative long intergenic non-coding RNA
Source: RNAcentral